RNAcentral lists this signal recognition particle RNA (241 nucleotides) under pig gut metagenome. RNAcentral describes it as "Bacterial large signal recognition particle RNA". It matches the Rfam family "Bacterial large signal recognition particle RNA". From Rfam's summary of the family: The signal recognition particle (SRP) is a universally conserved ribonucleoprotein involved in the co-translational targeting of proteins to membranes. Archaeal SRP consists of a 7S RNA and homologues of the eukaryotic SRP19 and SRP54 proteins. The record is from RNAcentral.
AGCCGGGGUGGCAGCGGUACCCUGUACCAGCAAUCCGCUAUAGCUGGGGUGAUAUUCCGCCGCGGGUUUUUGGCUGUGAAGCUGCCCUCUAUAAGUGGCGUUGAAGCCUGGGUCUUGCGCAAUAGGAACUUGCGAACCGUGUCAGGUUGGGAACAAAGCAGCACUAAGUAAGAACUCUUAUGUGCCGUAAGGCUGCCUGGGCUGAGUUAACUGUAGAGGUAACGUUCAUGGUCGGGAUUCA